This 253-nucleotide ribosomal RNA is filed under the name uncultured bacterium. RNAcentral describes it as "partial 16S ribosomal RNA". It matches the Rfam family "Bacterial small subunit ribosomal RNA", at positions 524 to 776 of the family's 1533-position model. The record is from RNAcentral.
UACGUAGGUGACAAGCGUUGUCCGGAUUUACUUGGCGUAAAGAGCGCGCAGGCGGUCGAUCAAGUCGAGUGUGAAAGCCCUCGGCUCAACUGGGGAGGGUCAUUCGAUACUGAUCGACUCGAAGGCAGGAGAGGGUAGUGGAAUUCCCGGUGUAGUGGUGAAAUGCGUAGAUAUCGGGAGGAACACCAGUGGCGAAGGCGACUACCUGGCCUGUUCUUGACGCUGAGGCGCGAAAGCUAGGGGAGCAAACGGG